This 1241-nucleotide long non-coding RNA is filed under the name Pan troglodytes (chimpanzee). RNAcentral describes it as "lncRNA (ENSPTRG00000054218.1)". Lineage: Eukaryota; Metazoa; Chordata; Mammalia; Primates; Hominidae. The record is from RNAcentral.
CUAUCUAUCAUGCGGCCUCCACCAGGCUGCAGGAUAUGAGGGCCAUUUAAUUAGGCCCUGCACCACUCUCGGGUGUGAAAAGACUCUCAAACGCUUUGAUUCCCCGCUGCUUCGCAGCAGGAAGUUGUUGGCGAUAAUUGACAUAGGAUUUCCUUGUUAACCAGCAGCAGACACGCCGGAUUAAAGCGACAGAGAUCUCGAGAAGAAAGUGAAAGAGAUAAGAAGCUCGGAAGACUUCUGCUUAUUUGGCACUUGAGGAUGGCAGGAAACAGCAAUAACCUACUCAAGUGGCGACUCUAGAGUGGAAGGGCGUCCCCUUAUCAGACCCAUUUCAGCUUGGCUGAUCAAAGAUUGACUCCCCGCAAAAUCACAUAGGCCUGGGGUUUGUUAGUUUAUUAAGCGGCAGGUUUUAGGAAUUAUCACAGGUUUAAAGAUGGAUUGCAGUUUAUGUGAAGGGGGAGAGGAUUAUCGGGUUUUCAUCUUAACAAUUAUAAAAUAUCACAGCUGAAAGCUUGCUUGCAAAUGACAUAAUUUUCCACUGCCAACUAAACAGGUCAUUGUGAGGCUGCCUGUGAGCUCACUCAACGAGGGAGGAAAUACAGGCAAAUUAACUCUGGGGAGGACCGGGGAUGAGGGGCCUCCACGCCUUGUUCCACUUCGGAAGACGGUGCGAUCUCAUUUUGCCUUGUGCGAUUCCUUAGAAGAUACUCAGCUAGAAGAUUCCUCUGUGAGGCUGCUAGUACUUCUCCAGCAGACCAAGCCAGGAGAGCUUUCUCAAAAAUUCUACCAGAUUUUCCAGGGGUUCUCAAAGAUUGUCUGCAAACCAGCGCUGAUAAAUGAUUGCAGCUUCUUGAGUCUAUAGAGAGAGACCUUUAUGCUCUCUCUACUAGGAAGUAAUGCUUUUUUCCCUGAGAUUAUGUUCUUUCUAAAAUUUUUAUGUGCUUUUAAAAUUUCAUGUGUGUAUUAACAUGUCCUUUCUUUAUAGAAUGUUAAAGACAAUAUAUAAAUUUCUGAAAAGAUUUGAAUGAUUUAAUUUGGCAAAAUAAAGAAUUGCCAAUCCUACAUAGAGCUCCAUACACCAAUUUUUAAAAAUAAUUUUAUUGCUUCACAAAAUCUGGGAACCACUGGAUAUAUGAAGUAUCUCUUUUAGCUAAAGCAAAGUCAACUCUCACCCUAGAAAAAAGUUCAUUUUUUGAUCUGUUUUUAUUUUUCUGUGGCAAAAAGUGCUUUUGUGAUGCCUC